This 33-nucleotide ribosomal RNA is filed under the name Fonsecaea pedrosoi. RNAcentral describes it as "partial 28S ribosomal RNA". The record is from RNAcentral. Lineage: Eukaryota; Fungi; Ascomycota; Eurotiomycetes; Chaetothyriales; Herpotrichiellaceae.
GGUUGACCUCGGAUCAGGUAGGAAUACGCGCUG